UUCCAGGAAUGUAGGUACUACCGUUCUAUUCCGUGAACAUCUAUCUGAUUAAAUUAUGGGUGGAAAGUUACCACAAGAUAUUCUAUGAACAUAGUACAAUGUCUUCCUGGAGGGGUAAAAUUUUCCAUUACAAGAUUUUAAGAGAGGCCAUUUACUAUUCAAUUUGCGUUCAUUUUCAAAUUUGCCGCGCGAGUAUCUAUGUAGCGUCGCGUGGUCAUUGGCAUUCAUUGGUCAUCACAUUUCAUAUAUUUAUUUCAUUUUCAUGGAUAACCGAUAACCUAAAAAUUUAGUAAAAAUUUUGAUUGGAAAAAAAUGCAUCGAUAACUGUCGAUAAGGGGGUGUGGGAAAUGGAAAUUAGUGGCUUUUUUGCUGUACUGUCUGAGUUUUUGCUCUGGGCUCUGGCUGGAUCUCUUGUUUAAACAAUUUUAAUCGGCUGAAAGUGGUCUACAAAAAAAACCAAGGAGGAAAUGUAUAGCCUUGUGGCUAUGAAAGGCAAAAGAGAGAUAUAAAAAGUGUAUUGGCUAGUUGGAAGAAAGUCCACAUUGUCCAUGCAUAAUAAGUUAUUACUUUAUCAACAAAUAUCAAGAAGAUAGCAGGAAUAAGUCACGAGCAACAACUUCAUAAGUUCAAGAAUAUUGAGGAAAUCCAGCUCCUCGAUACUACUGGGCAAACUAGAAGAUUGAAGAGGACAAAGCCUUUUGAACUAGUUUGAGUGAUAGGUGAUAGUGAAAAACGGAGCAUAGUGCUUGUGUGCUGUGCCUGUGUAUGUUAGAAUAGUGCACGAUCUUGUUAGAUUAGAUAAGAGACGCUAUGGGGUAAGCUCUUCAUUUUAAGAAACAAUAGUAAUUUAGGUUAAAUUAAAAUUGCUCAUUGGUCAGUUAUGACCAGAUUGUUUUUUUAUGUUUGGCAAAAAGGGCUUAAGUCAGAAUUGCACAUUGAUAAUGUUUUGAUGAUUUCUGGACCAGAAAAAAACUGUUGUAGAUGUAAACUGUAUGUACAGUAGAAUCUACUACAGUACUGUAGAAAUCAUCAAAACAUUAUCGAUGUGCAAUUCUGACUUAAGCCCUUUUUCCCAAACAUCAGAGAAUUGUAAUGUACAAUAAUUCUCCUAUCUGAUUUUUCAUGAAUUUUGUAGGAGACGAAAAACCAUUUUUAGGAUCAUCUGCUUUCACAUGUAAACAUGUCAAAAAAUAUAUGAAAACAGGAGGUGACUAUACAAAAAGUUUUUAGUCUCUCUUACAAAACUCAUGAAAAACAAAUCGGAGAUAUGUCACAUCGGUGACUAUAUCCAGGGAAUGUCUAAAAAAUAUACUUUGAUGU
Long non-coding RNA from Diabrotica virgifera virgifera (western corn rootworm), 1320 nucleotides. RefSeq lists it as uncharacterized. The transcript is spliced from 2 exons. The record is from RefSeq and is a predicted model, not a curated record. NCBI's taxonomy places the organism in Eukaryota, Metazoa, Arthropoda, Insecta, Coleoptera, Chrysomelidae.